GCAAGUCGAGCGAGAAAGCACUUCGGUGCGAGUACAGCGGCGGACGGGUGAGUAACGCGUAGGAAUCUACCCAGUAGUGGGGGACAACAUGGUGAAAACCAUGCUAAUACCGCAUACGCCCUAUGGGGGAAAGCGGGGGACCUUCGGGCCUCGCGCUAUUGGAUGAGCCUGCGUCGGAUUAGCUUGUUGGUGAGGUAAAAGCUCACCAAGGCGAUGAUCUGUAGCUGGUUUGAGAGGACGAUC
This 243-nucleotide ribosomal RNA is filed under the name uncultured bacterium. RNAcentral's name for it is "partial 16S ribosomal RNA". It matches the Rfam family "Bacterial small subunit ribosomal RNA", at positions 57 to 305 of the family's 1533-position model. The record is from RNAcentral.